RNAcentral lists this unclassified non-coding RNA (508 nucleotides) under uncultured Glomus. RNAcentral describes it as "SSU rRNA". It matches the Rfam family "Eukaryotic small subunit ribosomal RNA", at positions 569 to 1081 of the family's 1831-position model. The record is from RNAcentral. Lineage: Eukaryota; Fungi; Glomeromycota; Glomeromycetes; Glomerales; Glomeraceae.
AGCAGCCGCGGUAAUUCCAGCUCCAAUAGCGUAUAUUAAAGUUGUUGCAGUUAAAAAGCUCGUAGUUGAAUUUCGGGGUUAGCAGGUCGGUCGUGCCAUCGGUAUGAACUGGUCUCGCUGAUCCUCCCUCUUGACGAACUGUGAUGCCAUUAAUUUGGUGUCGCAGGGAAUCAGGACUGUUACUUUGAAAAAUUAGAGUGUUUAAAGCAGGCUCACGCUUGAAUACAUUAGCAUGGAAUAAUGAAAUAGGACGUUUGAUCCUAUUUUGUUGGUUUCUAGGAUUGACGUAAUGAUUAAUAGGGAUAGUUGGGGGCAUUAGUAUUCAAUUGUCAGAGGUGAAAUUCUUGGAUUUAUUGAAGACUAACUACUGCGAAAGCAUUUGCCAAGGAUGUUUUCAUUAAUCAAGAACGAAAGUUAGGGGAUCGAAGACGAUCAGAUACCGUCGUAGUCUUAACCAUAAACUAUGCCGACUAGGGAUCGGAUGAUGUUAAUUUUUAAUGACUCAUUC